AUGAGUUGCGUGGCUCACGUACUUUCUGGGGUUCCUAGAAGGCAAGGGGGAAGUUUGGGCUGCGCCUCGGCCGGGGGCGGGGGAGAAACCCUGCCGUCACCUCUCGCUGCCCAGCCUUCGAGGCUCGGGCACCCCAGGACCGCGCUGCGGAGCCUCGGGGCCCUUCCCGGGAGCCGCCAAGCGCAGCCAGGCUGCAGCAGGGACAGAGCGGCUCCCUACAAUCGCCAACGGUCCCGGAGUCCCCGGGCCACCUGGCACGCUGCCGCAGGGAGCAGCGAGGGAAAGCACCAAGUGCUGCAAAGCUGGAGGCGACGCCGGGGCAGGGAACCAUCCCCGUCCCCACGUGCGCCCCAGCCCCCAUGGAGGCGCGGAGCGAGCACGGGGGGGGCCGCAUGCCGGGCCGGAGCAGCUGAGCCUCCGGCACAUCCAGACGGCCGCCUGCCACCCCCGCAGGCCACAGCUUCCCCUCCGCUUCUGCAGAACAGGGCGAGCGACCGCGGAGGGGAAGACCCGGCGCAAAGGCCAGGGCUGCCCCUCGGAGCAUCGGCGAGAGCGGAGGCAGCGGCGCGGUACCUAGAACCGGAGGGGCGAGGUGAGCGAGGCUGGGGAUGCACCACGCUCAGAAAGCCCCCGCGUGGGGCUGGGCGGAGGAGCCGGGAUGGGAGCAGCCAGCGCUGCCCCGGAGGACGCAAGGCUCUGGGAGCAGAGGGAGUCCCGGCAGCACCAGCGGCAGGGCAGCGUGGCUGGGCCGGCGCAGCGACGGAGCCUUUGGCCCUGCGGGAUGGGGCUCUGCUCCCCCCGGCCCUGGUGGCCCGGCUGGACCCCGGCUCCAGCCCCAGGAGCAGCAGCACACGUGCAGCGAGGGCAGACGUCCCCCAGCCCGGCCAGACCCCGCCGGCGCGGACACCACCUCGCCCUGCAAUUACCGACUCCAGGCCGGGAGCAAAGGUCACAAAACUUUAUACAGGCGAAACCCGCAGCAGCCCCGCGGCCCCUGGGGAGCUGCUCCCCCGAGCGGUGCGGGGAGCCGGACGGCAGGGCCUGGCCCCCGCCGCCGGAGCAGCCCCGGGUGGAGGGAGCCCGGCAGGGAGCUCCAGCGCAACGCGCCGGCACGGGGCCCCCCCUCCGCCG
Molecule: long non-coding RNA, 1131 nt
Filed under: Apteryx owenii (little spotted kiwi)
Lineage: Eukaryota; Metazoa; Chordata; Aves; Apterygiformes; Apterygidae
Description: lncRNA (ENSAOWG00000008778.1)
Source: RNAcentral